Molecule: ribosomal RNA, 1345 nt
Filed under: uncultured bacterium
Lineage: Bacteria
Description: bacterial SSU rRNA
Rfam family: Bacterial small subunit ribosomal RNA
Source: RNAcentral
GACGAACGCUGGCGGCGUGCUUAACACAUGCAAGUCGAACGAUGAAGCGGUGCUUGCACCGUGGAUUAGUGGCGAACGGGUGAGUAAUACGUGAGUGACCUACCUUUGACUCUGGGAUGAGCCUGGGAAACUGGGUCUAAUACCGGAUACGACCAAUCUCUGCAUGGGGUGUUGGUGGAAAGCGUUAUGGAGUGGUUUUAGAUGGGCUCACGGCCUAUCAGCUUGUUGGUGAGGUAAUGGCUUACCAAGGCGACGACGGGUAGCCGGCCUGAGAGGGUGACCGGCCACACUGGGACUGAGACACGGCCCAGACUCCUACGGGAGGCAGCAGUGGGGAAUAUUGCACAAUGGGCGCAAGCCUGAUGCAGCGACGCCGCGUGAGGGAUGACGGCCUUCGGGUUGUAAACCUCUGUUAGCAUCGAAGAAGCGAAAGUGACGGUAGGUGCAGAGAAAGCGCCGGCUAACUACGUGCCAGCAGCCGCGGUAAUACGUAGGGCGCGAGCGUUGUCCGGAAUUAUUGGGCGUAAAGAGCUUGUAGGCGGUUGGUCGCGUCUGCUGUGAAGGCCGGGGCUUAACUCCGGUUUUGCAGUGGGUACGGGCUAACUAGAGUGCAGUAGGGGAGACUGGAAUUCCUGGUGUAGCGGUGGAAUGCACAGAUAUCAGGAGGAACACCGAUGGCGAAGGCAGGUCUCUGGGCUGUAACUGACGCUGAGAAGCGAAAGCAUGGGGAGCGAACAGGAUUAGAUACCCUGGUAGUCCAUGCCGUAAACGUUGGGCACUAGGUGUGGGGGACAUUCCACGUUUUCCGCGCCGUAGCUAACGCAUUAAGUGCCCCGCCUGGGGAGUACGGCCGCAAGGCUAAAACUCAAAGGAAUUGACGGGGGCCCGCACAAGCGGCGGAGCAUGCGGAUUAAUUCGAUGCAACGCGAAGAACCUUACCAAGGCUUGACAUGCAUUAGAUCGCGUCAGAGAUGGCGUUUCCCUUCGGGGCUGGUGUACAGGUGGUGCAUGGUUGUCGUCAGCUCGUGUCGUGAGAUGUUGGGUUAAGUCCCGCAACGAGCGCAACCCUCGUUCUAUGUUGCCAGCGGUUCGGCCGGGGACUCAUAGGAGACUGCCGGGGUCAACUCGGAGGAAGGUGGGGAUGACGUCAAAUCAUCAUGCCCCUUAUGUCUUGGGCUUCACGCAUGCUACAAUGGCCGGUACAGAGGGUUGCGAUACUGUGAGGUGGAGCUAAUCCCUUAAAGCCGGUCUCAGUUCGGAUUGGGGUCUGCAACUCGACCCCAUGAAGUCGGAGUCGCUAGUAAUCGCAGAUCAGCAACGCUGCGGUGAAUACGUUCCCGGGCCU